UUGUGCAAUGGGGGAAACCCUGACGCAGCGACGCCGCGUGAGUGAUGAAGGCCUUAGGGUUGUAAAGCUCUGUUCUUAGGGAAUAAGUUCUGAAGGUACCUAAGAAGAAAGGACCGGCUAACUUCGUGCCAGCAGCCGCGGUAAUACGAGGGGUCCUAGCGUUGUUCGGAAUUAUUGGGCGUAAAGCGGGUGCAGGUGGCCAUUUAAGUCGGGAGUGAAAUCCCUGGGCUCAACCCAGGAAGGGCUUCUGAUACUGGAUGGCUUGAAUAUCGGAGAGGGCAGUAGAAUUCCAGGUGUAGUGGUGAAAUACGUAGAUAUCUGGAGGAAUACCGGCGGCGAAGGCGGCUGCCUGGCCGAAUAUUGACACUCAGACCCGAAAGCGUGGGGAGCAAACAGGAUUAGAUACCCUGGUAGUCCACGCCGUAAACGAUGAACCUUGGUGUUGGUGGUUUUGACCCCAUCAGUGCCGUAGCAAACGCGUUAAAGUGUUCCGCCU
Molecule: ribosomal RNA, 496 nt
Filed under: uncultured soil bacterium
Lineage: Bacteria
Description: bacterial SSU rRNA
Rfam family: Bacterial small subunit ribosomal RNA
Source: RNAcentral